Mugil cephalus (flathead mullet) is the source of this 797-nucleotide long non-coding RNA. RefSeq lists it as uncharacterized. NCBI's taxonomy places the organism in Eukaryota, Metazoa, Chordata, Actinopteri, Mugiliformes, Mugilidae. The record is from RefSeq and is a predicted model, not a curated record. The transcript is spliced from 2 exons.
GCUGAAGACUUCACCUCCUUCCUUUUAUUAAACCAGAGCAAAGAAAACAACAUCAAACUGGACAUUAAGGAUUAAAACGAGAAGAAUUAAUCCGUUAAAGAGGCGAAGAAGACUUUUAUUUACUUCCAGAGGAGGAAAGUGUAAAGAGACGUGAUGCUGAGGCUCAAAUGGUUUGAUCCAUCGACGCGUUUUCCUCCAACAUCAGCAGCUCCCAGGGCAUCCUGCUGCAAGGCAUGCUGGGAAACACAGGAGCAGGCCUGCUGCAAGGCAUGCUGGGAAACACAGGAGCAGGAGGAGGAGGGGGUUUAAUAUUUAAUUAAUAAGGGAUGAAGCCCUUUUACUUAUUGCACAGAUUCAGAUAUUAUUAUAUUUAUCGUUUUUAUUAAAUCCUGAUUCAUUGUUUUCUCUGUAAAACCAUUAAAAACAUUAUCACCAUCUGACACGUAAAUUAUUAAAUAACCAAAAUAUAAAUGUUUUGUUAGUUAAAAAAUGCUGAGAUAAUGUAAAUAUUAAACAAAUAGACGCGUAAAUGGUGAUAAUCACACUGUGACAUUAAUGUCAUUUUAACUGUAAUUAUUUUUCUUUGUGGGUUUUAAAUCAGUGCUUUUUCCACCUCAAACGUAUUAAUUUAUGUCAUUUCCAGUUAGAAUUUAUUAUUUACUGUCUGAAACGACUAAUAAUCAUCUACUUAAUAUUUAAAAUGUCAUAAAUCCUCGUAAACACAGACUCAACGUCGACCAGUUCCCUGUUUGUCAUGUUUUAUUUCUUAUUGUAGCUAAUAAAUGAAUAUUAAUGGG